UCCGGGGCUUGCGGUUCUGAUUGGUGCAGAGAGGCGGUGGAUGAGCGCAAACCUAGCUUCCGCGCUGAGAGGAAUCGGGGGCCCGUUUUCAGCCUCUGGACUACAUUUCCCAGAGAAAUCCGCAGGCCCACGCUAUGUCCCGCGGUAUUUCGCUGCUGAGUUUUGCACAGUGGUGGGGCCGUUGGCUCCGCGGAGUUAGCUGCUGAGGGGCGUUUGGAACCCGGUGCAACUUAGCUACUUUGGACCAGACUGGAACUAGGGAAGGACUAGGUUACCUCACUAAGAGGAAAGAAUGGUUUCUGAACAUCCAAAAGUCAAGAUCAAAGUGCUUUGGGAUUUUUUCUUUCUUCCCUGAAAUCUUUGUUUUUCAAGGGGUUGGUGAUGUUCAGGGAUGUGGCUGUAGACUUCUCUCAGGAGGAGUGGGAAUGCCUGGACUCUACGCAGAGGGAUUUAUAUAGAGAUGUAAUGAUGGAGAAUUACAGCAACCUGGUCUUAUUAGGUGGGCCUCUCACUGUUGUGGCCUCUCCCAUUGCGGAACACAGGCUCCAGAUGCGCAGGCCCAGUGGCCAUGGCUCACUGGCCCAGCCGCUCCACGGCACGUGGGAUCUUCCCGGACCAGGGCACGAAACCAUGUUCCCUGCAUCGGCAGGCAGACUCUCAACCACUGCGCCACCAGGGAAGCCCCCUCUGACUAGUUUUGCUUUGAUGCAGCAAUUCCAUGCAUUAAAAGAUAUUCAUUUACUUUUAAUCAACAUUUAUUGACUUAAAAUAAUGUUCUAAUUGUAAGAUAGAGAUGAUUUCAUUUUUUUUCACAGAACAUUACAAAUGUGUUUAAAUUUUUUUCUUUUUUACUUUAUUACGGACAGAGGAAUGGACGUCCCAUGAAUUUGUGCCCGAGCUUCAGCAGUUAUUAACAUGUUUUCAAUCUUAUUUCAUCUAUCCUCAUUGACCUCUGCAUCCCCCACCCUUGAAGUAUUUUAAAGCAAGACCCAGAUAUCAUACGUUUAAAUACUAUUAAAUAUAUGUUGCUUUUCACAGUUUCUUCUAUUUAAAAUUACUACUCUGAUGCAUCUUUAUUUAGAUGGAUAUUUUCAUAUUUGAUGAUCAGAUAUGAGAUUCCUGGGCCAAAAAAGUUUAAACCCUUUAAAGCUCCUGAUAUUCUAGCACAGAAAUGCAUGAUCCAGGGAAGCUGACUUUUUAAUUUUAUUUAUAUAAAUUUUAUAUAAAUUUAUACUUUUAUUUAUAAAUAUAUAAAUUAAAGUAUAAAUAUACUUUCUUUUUAUGUAAAAUUUUGCCAUCUUUUCCACUAGAUUGUUUAGGUUUAUUUUCUUAAUAAUUAAUUAAUUUUCAGGAGUUAUUUAUUUACUUACUUAAAAUUGUGUUAAAACAAUGAAUAACAAAUGUAUUCCAUUUUCACCUUUUUUGAGUGUAAAUUCAGUGGCAUUAAGUACAUUCACAUUCUCUUGCAACCAUCACUGUAUUCAUUUCCACAACUUUUUCAUCUUCCCAGAAUGAAACUAUGUACUCAUUAAAUAAUAAUUCCAAUUCCUCUUCCCCACCAGGGCCUGGCAACCACCAUUCUACUUUCUGUCUUUAUGAAUUUCACUAUUCUAGAUAUCUCAUAUGAGUUGAAUCAUACAAUGUUUGUCUUUUUGUGUAUGGCUUAUUUCACUUAGUACCAUGUCCUCAAGUUUCAUCCAUGUUCUGGUAUGUGUCAGAAUUUCCUUUUUAAGGCUGAAUUCUGUUGUAUGUAUUUACCACGUUUUGUUUAUCGAUUCAUCCAUCAGCAGACAUUUGGGUUGCUUCCAUCUUUUGGCUAUUGUGAAUAAUACUUCUAGGAACAUGGGUGUACAAAUACCUGUUUGAGUCCCUGCUUUCAAUUGUUUGGGUAUAUACACAGAAGUGAAAUUGUUGGAUCGUAUGGUAAUUGUCUGUUUAAUUUUGUGUAUACACACACACACACACACAUUUUCUUUAUCCAUUCAUCCAUUGAUGAACACUUAGGCUGUUUCCAUGUCUUGGUUAAUGCUGCGGUGAAUGUGGGGGUACAUAUAUCUUUUCAAAUUAGUGUUUUCGUUUUCCUUGGAAAAAUACCCAGAAGAAGAAUUGUUGGAUCAUAUGUAGUUAUAUUUUUAAUUUUUUGAGGAACCUCCAUAUGUUUUCCAUAGUGGCUGCAUCAAUUUACAUUCCCAUCAGUAAUGACAAGGGCUCCCUUUUCUCUACAUCCUUGACAACACUUGUUAUAUUCUUUUUUUUUUUUUUUUGUGGUACGCGGGCCACUCACUGUUGUGGCCUCUCCCGUUGCGGAGCACAGGCUCGAGACGCGCAGGCUCAGCGGCCAUGGCUCACGGGCCCAGCCGCUCCGCGCCAUGUGGGAUCUUCCCGGACCAGGGCACAAACCAGUGUCCCCUGCAUCGGCAGGCGGACUCUCAACCGCUGCGCCACCAGGGAAUCCCGCCCUAGUCUAACUUUUGAUUGUGACUUCCUACGCGCCUCAGUUUGAAAAGUGGGAAUCUUGAAGGAUCUGGGUUCAAAGCAUUACUCUAGGAGAUUAUUUACUCGUUUAUACCAGAGACCAGGUCUAUUCUUUAAUUAAUUUCUCAGCUUGAGGUGUCCAUGACAGGUAGUGUAAAUUUGAACUCCAAUCUUAUGUGAGGAUGGAUGUUAAUGAUUAAUUCUCAGGUGAGACUCUUUUUUUUUUCUUUUGCGGUACGCGGGCUUCUCACCGCUGUGGCCUCUCCCGUUCCGGAGCACAGGCUCCGGACGCGCAGGCUCAGCGGCCAUGGCUUAUGGGCCCAGCCGCUCCGCGGCAUGUGGGAUCUUCCCAGACCGGGGCACGAACCCGUGUCCCCUGCAUCGGCAGGCGGACUCUCAACCACUGCGCCACCAGGGAAGCUCUCUCUUUUUUUUUUUUUUUUGAUGGUGGUAGUGGUGGUGAAAUCUAGAACCACAGCGGAGGAGAGCAGAUUUACCUGUUAGUCCCUUAACUGGCAGGAGACUUUUUCCUAGCCCACCCUUUAACUCUGGGUGUGGCUUCUUUGAAGACCUGCGUUUUAUGCUGUAGUCUCAGGUUUCGUUCUUCACUUUGCGUAGUUUGAGACUUAACCUUGUUCCUUCACAUGGACAUCAAUCCACAAAAGCUCUUGGUUUCUGUUGGGAUGCCCCACAGCAAGGUGGUUUCAGUUCUCGGGUUUGCUUUGCCACUCCAGUUUCAGUUUUCUUUUCUGUGUUUAGUAUGUUUAUAUUGUUUUUGCUUUUAGGAAUUUCCUUUACUUUCUUGAGCGCUCAGUGGCAAGUUUAAAGAUACCUUUAUUUUGAUAUAUCCAGCAUUUAGCAGUUUUGCAACAUAAGACUACUUUUCAUGAUAGAUAAAGUGUACCAUACUGCUAAAAGCAGAGGUUGCAGUGGGAGAGAUGAGGAAGAAUGUCAGUACCCGCAGUGUUUGCAAAAUACUAGAAACAAUCUAAAUGUCUCUCAGCAUCAGAAUAGAUCAGUAAAUCAUCCUGUUUCUAUUGUAUGCUAAAUAAAACCAUACUGCCAUGAAAUGAAUGAAUUAUAGCUAAUAUAUCAGGUUAAUCAUAAAAACAGUCACAGAAUACCAGAAGUAUGAGGCUAUUUAUAUAUAGUGUUCAAAUGUUGUCAUACUGCACAGUAUCUUAAAUAAGAAUUCACAUAUAUAUAGUAAAACAAUAAUAAAAGAGAAUGAGAAAUACAAAUUUCGAAAUAGUGGUUACCUGUAGGGUACAGGAAAGCGAGAACAAUUUGCUUUGGGAGGGAUAUUCAAGAAGCAUCAAUAAUAUUUGUAAUGUUUUAUUUUUUAAGCUUAGUAAUGGAUACAUAGUAUUCAUUUCAUUAUUCUUUGUACCUUUUAAAUAUGUGUAUAUACAAAUGCACAAAACACUCUCAUUUGUAUGUAUUUCUUAACAAAAAAUACUUUCUGACUAAUGAAGCUAAAAGGAGAGGAAUAAGGUGACUAAUUGGGAUGCUGUGUUAGUAAUUCACACAUAAGAUGAUGAUAGGUUAGACUAGGGGUCAGCAAACUAUGUAUGGCCUGUGAGCCAGCUGCCUAUUUUUUGUAAAUAAAGUUUUAUCAGAACAUAGCCACACCUAUUCACUUAUGUGUUGUCUUUGGCUAUUUUUGCACUACAGUGGCCAAGUUGAGUAGUUGCAAUGGGGACUGUGGCUUGCAGGCCUAAAAUAUUUACUCUCUGGCCCUUAAAGAGAAAAUUUGCUGAUGCUUAUGAUGUUAACAGUAGAAAUGUUGAGAAAAUGAUUAGAUUCAGGAUUUUUUUUUAAGGUUAAGCCAGAAGGAUCAAUAGUAGCUGGCUAUGUGAGCUUCUGGCAGAGUGGAGAGGGUAGAGCUGGGAAUCACCAGCAGAUGGAUAAUUUAUUAAGCAAUAAGACUGAAAGAGAUCACUUGAUAAAUGAGUGAAAUAUUGAGAGGAGAAGAGUAUCAAAGACUGUUCUCUGAGCCAUUCUUCCACUUAGAAGUCAGGAAAGGAGGAUGGUCCUGGUUUUCCCAAUUAUGGAGUUUUCCAGAAUGUGGGACUUUUCAGUGCUAAAACCAGGACAAUCCCAGGCAAACUGAGAUGGUUGAUUACCCUAGAUGGUAUCUAAAAGGAGAAUGAGAAAGACUGGUGAGCAAAGUAGAAAAUGACCAAGGUAAGUAUGGAUGUACCAGUAGAUAAACUGUCACACAUUACUGGAAGAACAGUAACUGACCACUAGAGUUAACAAAAGGGAGGGUUUUGGUGGUCUUAGAAAGAGUGUUUUUUCAGUGGAGUUAUGAAACAAAAAUCAUUCCUGAUUGAAAUGGCUUUAAAAAAAGUGGAAGAGAAUUCUGGGAAAAUGGUGGCUGUGAAUAUGUAAUGUUUUUGCUUUCCUUGAAUCCUCCCCAUCUCCCACCAAACAAAACAAACAAACCAAAUAAGAGAGAAACUAAAAGAGCAAAAUACAAAUCCACAGGUAACAUCUACAUCAAAGCUAAGUGACAAGUCACCCCCUCAAACCCUAUAAGAAGAUUAACUGGGAAUAAACUGACAGCCCUAAGAUCCUUUUGGUGUCUGCAGUUUUUAUGGGAUGAAGUAGAAAUAAAAGCAAGGGAAUAUCUGACAGCUCUGAGAAGAAGAGAACCCUCAAAUCAUAAAUUUACUCACUAGAAAGUACAGCAGCAGCUGAAACUGGAAGUCAUCCUUCUAUAGGCAGGUAUGUGAAAGGUAAAUACAGCACAGCUAAAGUCUGGGCCUCUUAAACUCUAGAAUCCAAACUACAGAUGCCUUUCAGGACAACAUCUACUACUCAGGAGACAUUUCUGGUAGUAGAAUCCAAAUUAAACAACAGGACAGGGAUGAUAGUGGCAAAGGAAGAAGGUGGUCUAGAUAAAAGUUGGGGAGGGGAGCAGAGGAGGCAUAUUUCAGGAAGUGUUUAAGACUACAGUUUUGAGCACUCAUAGAAAACCACGAAGAGGGACCUUCAAUGCUACAAAGCUAUAAACUCUACCCUGGUCCAAUUUUUUCUCCUAAAUGUAGAAUAACACCCAUCUCAAUUAAAAAUGAGUAAGAAUUAAAAUGGAAUAUUAAAAAGUAUUCAGUUACCAUAUUAUCCAGCAAUACCAUUUCUGGGCAUAUACCCAAAAGAAUUGAAAGGAGGGGCCCAAACAGAUAUUUGUACACCUAUGUUCAUAGCAGCAUUAUUCACAAUAGCUAACAUGAGGGAGCAACCAAGAUGUCCAUCAACAAAUGAAUGGAUAAACAAAAAUGUAGUAUAAACAGACAAUGAAAUAUUAUUCAGCCUUAAAAAGGAAGGAAUACUGACACAUACCACAACAUGGAUGAAGCUUGAGGACAUUAUGCUAAGUGAAAUAAGCCAGUAACAAAAAGACAAACUGAUUUAAUUUUCUAAGGUAUCUAGAGUACAGACUUGGAGAGAGACUUUGUUUAGUGGGCACAGAGUUUCAGUUUUGCAAGAUAAAAAAUUUCUCAAGAUUGGUUGCACAACAAUGUGAGAGUUUCAGUUUUGCAAGAUAAAAAAAAUUCUCAAGAUUGGUUGCACAACAAUGUGAAUAUACUUAACACUAGUGAACUGUACACUUAAUGGUUAAGAUGGUAAAUUUUAUGUUAUGUAUAUUUUACCACCAUUAAAAAGAAAAGGAUGAUGGGCCAAAAAAAGUGUCAAUACAAAUGAAGGCAUAAAAUUGGAAACAGAGGAAUGAAAAACAGGUUGCACAUAGAAGACAAAUAAUAAAAUAGUAGACCUGAAUCCAAACACAUCAAUAAUUACAUUAAAUGCCAAUGGACUAAAUACACCAAUUAAAAGACAGAGAAUGUCCAAAUGGAUAAAAAUUCAUGACUGAAGUGUGUGCUAUUUUUGAGAAACUUCAAAUAUAGGUAGAUUAAAAGGAUAGAAAAAGAUACAUUAAGCAAACACUAAUAAAAAAGAACUGGAAUGGUAAUAUUAACAGGAAACAAAGACUAGAGAGCAAAGAAAAUCACCAGGGAUAAAGAGGGACAUUACAUAAUGAUAAAAGGGUCAAUUCACUGAGAAGACAUAAUAAUUCUCAAUGUGUAUACCUAAUAAGAGAGCUCCAAAAUAUAUGAAAUAAAAACUGACAGAACUGAAAGGAGAAAUAAUUAAAUCCACAAUUUUAUAUAGACUCCAACAUGCCUUUCUAAGUAAUUGAUAGAACUAGUAGACAGAAAAUCAGCAAGUAUAUGGAAAAACUAAAUAAUGCAAUCAUGCAAAUGAAUAUAGUAUACUUUACCCAACAAUAUUAGCAUACACACUCUUUUCAAGUGUGCAUAGAACAUAUCUUGGAUCAUAAAGCAAACUUUAAAAGAAUUGAAACCAUACAUCUUAUGUCCUUUGACAUAAUGGAAUUAAAUGAGAAAUCAAUAACAAAGAUAAGAGGCAAACCUCCAAACACUUAGAAAUGAAACAAGACACCUCUAAAUAGCCUAUGAAUCAAAGAAGAAGACUUGAACAGACACUUCAUCAAAGAGGAUAUAUGGAUAGCAAAUAAACACAUGAAAAGAUGUUCAACAUCAUUAGCCAUUGGGAAAAUGCAUAUUAAAACCAUGAUGAGAAACUAAACACCUAUUAGAAUGGCUAAAAUAAAAUAUAUUGCAAUUACUAGGUACUGGCGAGGAUACUGAGCAACUGGAACUUUCAUACUUUGCUGGAAGGGAUGUAAAAUGGUACAGUAACUUUGGAAAAGAGUUUAGCAAUUUCUUAUGAAUUUACACAUACACAACCCAGCAAUCCUACUCCUGAGUAUUUACCCUAGAGAAAUGGAAACUUGCAUUCACACAAAAGCCUAUACAGGGUUAUUUGUAGUAGCUCUGUUCAUAAUUGCCCCAAACUGAAAACAGCCUAAAUGUCCUUCAGCAUGUGAAUGACACAUCCAUACAAUGGAAUAGUACUCAGCAGUAAAAAGGAAUGAGCUCUAAGUACAUAAAGGUACUUGCAUGGAUCUCAACAGCAUUAUGCUGAAUAGGAAAAAAAUCUCUAAACAUUACAUACUGUAUGAUUCCAUUUAUAUAACAAUCUGGAAAUGAAAAAAAUCGUAAAGAUGGAGAACAGAUCAGUGUUUGCCAGAGAUUAGGGACUAGGGGAGGGAGGAUGUAUAAAGUGAUAGCUUGAGGGAGUUUUAGGGGUGAUCGAACUAUUCUGUAUAAUUAUUGUGGUUAUAUGAAUCUCUACAUGUAUUAAAAUUCAUAGAACUAUACACAAGAAAGCUUUGCUAUGUUAAUUUAAAUUUUAAAAAUUUAAAUAAAAGCAAUAGGAAAAGAUUCUGGU
This is a non-coding RNA of Globicephala melas (long-finned pilot whale), 7794 nucleotides long. NCBI's taxonomy places the organism in Eukaryota, Metazoa, Chordata, Mammalia, Artiodactyla, Delphinidae. The record is from RefSeq and is a predicted model, not a curated record.